AGUGGGAACACACGACCGCAAAUCUGACUCGCCGUCCGAUUGGGCGGCUCCGGGAUUGCGGACGUGU
Molecule: non-coding RNA, 67 nt
Filed under: Halapricum salinum
Lineage: Archaea; Methanobacteriati; Methanobacteriota; Halobacteria; Halobacteriales; Haloarculaceae
Description: S15-Halobacteria ribosomal protein leader
Rfam family: S15-Halobacteria ribosomal protein leader
Source: RNAcentral